GAUGAACGCUGGCGGCGUGCCUAAUACAUGCAAGUCGAGCGAACAGGUGAGGAGCUUGCUCCUCUGACGUUAGCGGCGGACGGGUGAGUAACACGUGGAUAACCUACCUAUAAGACUGGGAUAACUUCGGGAAACCGGAGCUAAUACCGGAUAAUAUAUUGAACCGCAUGGUUCAAUAGUGAAAGACGGUUUUGCUGUCACUUAUAGAUGGAUCCGCGCCGCAUUAGCUAGUUGGUAAGGUAACGGCUUACCAAGGCAACGAUGCGUAGCCGACCUGAGAGGGUGAUCGGCCACACUGGAACUGAGACACGGUCCAGACUCCUACGGGAGGCAGCAGUAGGGAAUCUUCCGCAAUGGGCGAAAGCCUGACGGGGCAACGCCGCGUGAGUGAUGAAGGUCUUCGGAUCGUAAAACUCUGUUAUUAGGGAAGAACAAAUGUGUAAGUAACUAUGCACGUCUUGACGGUACCUAAUCAGAAAGCCACGGCUAACUACGUG
RNAcentral lists this ribosomal RNA (497 nucleotides) under uncultured bacterium. Its description in RNAcentral is "partial 16S ribosomal RNA". It matches the Rfam family "Bacterial small subunit ribosomal RNA", at positions 28 to 507 of the family's 1533-position model. The record is from RNAcentral.